Molecule: ribosomal RNA, 1554 nt
Filed under: Staphylococcus aureus
Lineage: Bacteria; Bacillati; Bacillota; Bacilli; Caryophanales; Staphylococcaceae
Description: 16S ribosomal RNA
Rfam family: Bacterial small subunit ribosomal RNA
Source: RNAcentral
UUUAUGGAGAGUUUGAUCCUGGCUCAGGAUGAACGCUGGCGGCGUGCCUAAUACAUGCAAGUCGAGCGAACGGACGAGAAGCUUGCUUCUCUGAUGUUAGCGGCGGACGGGUGAGUAACACGUGGAUAACCUACCUAUAAGACUGGGAUAACUUCGGGAAACCGUAGCUAAUACCGGAUAAUAUUUUGAACCGCAUGGUUCAAAAGUGAAAGACGGUCUUGCUGUCACUUAUAGAUGGAUCCGCGCUGCAUUAGCUAGUUGGUAAGGUAACGGCUUACCAAGGCAACGAUGCAUAGCCGACCUGAGAGGGUGAUCGGCCACACUGGAACUGAGACACGGUCCAGACUCCUACGGGAGGCAGCAGUAGGGAAUCUUCCGCAAUGGGCGAAAGCCUGACGGAGCAACGCCGCGUGAGUGAUGAAGGUCUUCGGAUCGUAAAACUCUGUUAUUAGGGAAGAACAUAUGUGUAAGUAACUGUGCACAUCUUGACGGUACCUAAUCAGAAAGCCACGGCUAACUAUGUGCCAGCAGCCGCGGUAAUACGUAGGUGGCAAGCGUUAUCCGGAAUUAUUGGGCGUAAAGCGCGCGUAGGCGGUUUUUUAAGUCUGAUGUGAAAGCCCACGGCUCAACCGUGGAGGGUCAUUGGAAACUGGAAAACUUGAGUGCAGAAGAGGAAAGUGGAAUUCCAUGUGUAGCGGUGAAAUGCGCAGAGAUAUGGAGGAACACCAGUGGCGAAGGCGACUUUCUGGUCUGUAACUGACGCUGAUGUGCGAAAGCGUGGGGAUCAAACAGGAUUAGAUACCCUGGUAGUCCACGCCGUAAACGAUGAGUGCUAAGUGUUAGGGGGUUUCCGCCCCUUAGUGCUGCAGCUAACGCAUUAAGCACUCCGCCUGGGGAGUACGACCGCAAGGUUGAAACUCAAAGGAAUUGACGGGGACCCGCACAAGCGGUGGAGCAUGUGGUUUAAUUCGAAGCAACGCGAAGAACCUUACCAAAUCUUGACAUCCUUUGACAACUCUAGAGAUAGAGCCUUCCCCUUCGGGGGACAAAGUGACAGGUGGUGCAUGGUUGUCGUCAGCUCGUGUCGUGAGAUGUUGGGUUAAGUCCCGCAACGAGCGCAACCCUUAAGCUUAGUUGCCAUCAUUAAGUUGGGCACUCUAAGUUGACUGCCGGUGACAAACCGGAGGAAGGUGGGGAUGACGUCAAAUCAUCAUGCCCCUUAUGAUUUGGGCUACACACGUGCUACAAUGGACAAUACAAAGGGCAGCGAAACCGCGAGGUCAAGCAAAUCCCAUAAAGUUGUUCUCAGUUCGGAUUGUAGUCUGCAACUCGACUACAUGAAGCUGGAAUCGCUAGUAAUCGUAGAUCAGCAUGCUACGGUGAAUACGUUCCCGGGUCUUGUACACACCGCCCGUCACACCACGAGAGUUUGUAACACCCGAAGCCGGUGGAGUAACCUUUUAGGAGCUAGCCGUCGAAGGUGGGACAAAUGAUUGGGGUGAAGUCGUAACAAGGUAGCCGUAUCGGAAGGUGCGGCUGGAUCACCUCCUUUCU